Molecule: small nucleolar RNA, 136 nt
Organism: Sorex fumeus (smoky shrew)
Lineage: Eukaryota; Metazoa; Chordata; Mammalia; Eulipotyphla; Soricidae
Product: small nucleolar RNA SNORA72
Exons: 1
Source: RefSeq, a predicted model, not a curated record
CUGCGAAUAUUCUCACAAUUAUGCUUUUGUAAUAAUCAGGGCAGGCUAAACAUUCACUAUAAUAAAACCACGCAUGUGUCCUCAGACCUAGUUCUUUACCAACCUAGGUCUGGUCUUAGAAACGCUGGUAGGUAAG